This is a long non-coding RNA of Oncorhynchus tshawytscha (Chinook salmon), 889 nucleotides long. The record is from Ensembl. Lineage: Eukaryota; Metazoa; Chordata; Actinopteri; Salmoniformes; Salmonidae.
CAAACAGACAGUCGGACAGAUGUGUGAGGGAGGGAGUGUGUGUGAGGGAGGGAGUGUGUGUGUGAGAGGGAGUGUGUGUGUGAGAGGGAGUGUGUGUGUGUGUGUGAGAGGGAGUGUGUGUGUGAGAGGGAGUGUGUGAGUGUGUGUGUGAGAGGGAGUGUGUGUGUGUGUGUGUGUGAGAGAGGGAGUGUGUGUGAGAGGGAGUGUGUGUGUGAGAGAGAGUGUGUGUGUGUGUGUGAGAGGGAGUGUGUGUGUGAGAGAGGGAGUGUGUGUGUGAGAGAGGGAGUGUGUGUGUGUGUGUGAGAGAGGGAGUGUGUGUGUGUGUGAGAGGAGUGUGUGUGUGUGAGAGGGAGUGUGUGUGUGAGAGGUGUGUGUGUGUGAGAGAGGGAGUGUGUGUGAGUGUGAGAGGGAGUGUGUGUGAGAGAGAGGGAGUGUGUGUGUGUGUGAGAGGGAGGUGUGUGUGUGAGAGAGGGUGUGUGUGUGUGUGAGAGAGGGAGUGUGUGUGUGAGAGAGGAUGUGUGUGUGUGAGGAAGUCUGUGUGUGUGUGUGAGGGAGUCUGUGUGUGUGUGUGUGAGAGAGGCUUUGUGUGUGAGAGAGGCUUUGUGUGUGAGAGAGGCUUUGUGUGUGAGAGAGGCUUUGUGUGUGUGAGAGGCUGUGUGUGUGUGAGAGGAAGUGUGUGUGUGUGUGUGUGUGAGAGAGGGAGUGUGUGUGAGAGAGGGAGUGUGUGUGUGAGAGAGAGUGUGUAUGUGUGUGUGAGAGGGGGAGUGUGUGUGUGUGAGAGAGGGAGUGUGUGUGUGUGAGAGAGGGAGUGUGUGUAUGUGUGAGUGAAAGAGGGAGUGUGUGUGAGAGAGUGUGUGUGUGUGAGAGGGAGUGUGUGUGUGGGAGUGGG